RNAcentral lists this ribosomal RNA (496 nucleotides) under uncultured bacterium. RNAcentral's name for it is "partial 16S ribosomal RNA". It matches the Rfam family "Bacterial small subunit ribosomal RNA", at positions 28 to 507 of the family's 1533-position model. The record is from RNAcentral.
GAUGAACGCUGGCGGCGUGCCUAAUACAUGCAAGUCGAGCGAACAGACGAGGAGCUUGCUCCUCUGACGUUAGCGGCGGACGGGUGAGUAACACGUGGAUAACCUACCUAUAAGACUGGGAUAACUUCGGGAAACCGGAGCUAAUACCGGAUAAUAUAUUGAACCGCAUGGUUCAUUAGUGAAAGACGGUUUUGCUGUCACUUAUAGAUGGAUCCGCGCCGCAUUAGCUAGUUGGUAAGGUAACGGCUUACCAAGGCAACGAUGCGUAGCCGACCUGAGAGGGUGAUCGGCCACACGGGAACUGAGACACGGUCCAGACUCCGACGGGAGGCAGCAGUAGGGAAUCUUCCCAAUGGGCGAAAGCCUGACGGAGCAACGCCGCGUGAGUGAUGAAGGUCUUCGGAUCGUAAAACUCUGUUAUUAGGGAAGAACAAAUGUGUAAGUAACUAUGCACGUCUUGACGGUACCUAAUCAGAAAGCCACGGCUAACUACGUG